GGAAGGAUCAUUACUAGAUCGCUCGCCAGAUUUAUCUGGUUGAGCAAGAUCCAACCACCCUUGUAAACCGUUUCACAUAUUGGUAGCUAGCGGUCAUCCGGCCAUUUGCGCCUGUUUGGACGCGUCCUGCCUAUCCCCCUUUUGGAGAUGGUGGGGAGCUGCCGCAUUUUUUAAACCCCAAGUCGUUUCACUUGACUGACGUUUUGGUUAUCCUUUUUGAUAAUUUUUAAACAACUUUUGGCAACGGAUCUCUUGGCUCUCGCAACGAUGAAGAACGCAGCGAAAUGCGAUAAGUAGUGUGAAUUGCAGAAUUCAGUGAAUCAUCGAAUCUUUGAACGCACAUUGCGCUCUCUGGUAUUCCGGAGAGCAUGCCUGUUUGAGUAUCAAUACCAUCUCUCGUACGAAAUUCUGUUUUGAAUUCGUAUGGAUUUGAGCCAUCCCAGACAGAGCCUUCAGGCACUGGGUGACUUUAAAUGUAUUGUUUGGCUCGAUUUCAAGAAUGAAGGCCCAAGAAAAGCGCGACAAGAACCGAAGGAGCUCCGGCUCGUUCAUGGUUUCUAUCCGCUCGACUUGAGGCUUGCACCUUUUGACUUUAUACGCCUUCUCAAACUCUACACACUCUGGUCUCACGACUUUUGUGAUCUUGAUCUCAAAUCAGGCAAGACUACCCGCUGAACUUAAGCAUAUCAAUAAGCGGAGGAAAAGAAACUAACAAGGAUUCCCCUAGUAACGGCGAGUGAAGCGGGAACAGCUCAAAUUUGAAAUCUGGGAGGUUAGCCUCUCCGAAUUGUAGUUUAGAGAAGUGUUUUCGGUGGCGGCCCGAGUUUAAGUCCCUUGGAACAGGGCAUCAUAGAGGGUGAGAAUCCCGUCUUUGACUUGCGGUCUGCUACUAUGUGAUACACUUUCAAAGAGUCGGGUUGUUUGGGAAUGCAGCCCAAAAUGGGUGGUAAAUUUCAUCUAAAGCUAAAUAAUGGCGAGAGACCGAUAGCGAACAAGUACCGUGAGGGAAAGAUGAAAAGAACUUUGAAAAGAGAGUUAAACAGUACGUGAAAUUGCCAAAAGGGGAAACGCUUGAAACCAGUAUUGUUUGCAGGAAAUCAGCCAGGCUCGCCGAAUCGCUGGCAGCAUCAGAUCGCAAGACUAUGCUGUUUGUGCAAGAGGUUUCGCUUGGUGCCACUUUUCUGCCAACAGGUCAACAUCAGUUUGGUUUGCGGGAAAAAGGUCAAGGAAAGGUAGCCCCCCCUCUCGGGGGGUAUUAUAGUCCUGAUUUCUACCGUGGAGCAGACUGAGGAUCGCAGCGCAGGCUUCUGGCGGGGGUUCCCAGCUGCUGCCUCGGCGUUUUUUACAGACAGCGUGGCUGACUGUGAAAAAAUGAGCCGGGACACUCGGUUGGUUCACCACCUCUGUGCUUAGGAUGUUGACGAAAUGGUUUCAAACGACCCGUCUUGAAACACGGACCAAGGAGUCUAACAAAUAUGCGAGUGUUUGGGUGGUAAACCCAUACGCGUAAUGAAAGUGAACUUGGUGGGAUCAAUUGUGCACCAUCGACCGGUCUGGAUUCAUUUUGAAAGAUCUGAGUAAGAGCAUAUCUGUUGGGACCCGAAAGAUGGUGAACUAUGCCUGAAUAGGGUGAAGCCAGAGGAAACUCUGGUGGAGGCUCGUAGCGAUUCUGACGUGCAAAUCGAUCGUCAAAUUUGGGUAUAGGGGCGAAAGACUAAUCGAACCAUCUAGUAGCUGGUUCCCUC
Molecule: unclassified non-coding RNA, 1745 nt
Filed under: uncultured fungus
Lineage: Eukaryota; Fungi
Description: sequence contains 18S rRNA gene, ITS1, 5.8S rRNA gene, ITS2, 28S rRNA gene
Rfam family: Eukaryotic large subunit ribosomal RNA (bases 645-1745)
Source: RNAcentral